UUGCCAGCCCGCUCAGAAACUCAAGGAAUUGACGGGGCCCGCACAAGCGGUGGAGUAUGUGGUUUAAUUCGAUGCAACGCGAAGACCUUACCUGGUCUUGACAUCCCGGAGACCCUUAGGAAACUAGGGGGUGCUUCCAUCUGGAAGAAUCUGGAGACAGGUGCUGCAUGGCUGUCGUCAGCUCGUGUCGUGAGAUGUUGGGUUAAGUCCCGCAACGAGCGCAACCCUUGCCUUUAGUUGCCAGCAGUUCGGCUGGGCACUCUAAAGGGACUGCCGGUGUUAAACCGGAGGAAGGUGGGGAUGACGUCAAGUCCUCAUGGCCUUUAUGACCAGGGCUACACACGUACUACAAUGGCCGAUACAAAGGGCAGCGACACUGCGAGGUGAAGCCAAUCCCGUAAAAUCGGUCUCAGUCCGGAUUGGAGUCUGCAACUCGACUCCAUGAAGUUGGAAUCGCUAGUAAUCGUGGAUCAGCAUGCCACGGUGAAUACGUUCCCGGGCCUU
This 504-nucleotide ribosomal RNA is filed under the name uncultured Desulfobulbus sp. RNAcentral's name for it is "bacterial SSU rRNA". It matches the Rfam family "Bacterial small subunit ribosomal RNA", at positions 904 to 1382 of the family's 1533-position model. Lineage: Bacteria; Pseudomonadati; Thermodesulfobacteriota; Desulfobulbia; Desulfobulbales; Desulfobulbaceae. The record is from RNAcentral.